Cajanus cajan (pigeon pea) is the source of this 4464-nucleotide non-coding RNA. The record is from RefSeq and is a predicted model, not a curated record. Lineage: Eukaryota; Viridiplantae; Streptophyta; Magnoliopsida; Fabales; Fabaceae.
UUUCACACCUAAGAAGAACAACAACCUUCGAUUCUCUAUCGCAAACCCACACAUGACUAAGACUUGUACUUGUUCCUCAGUCUCAGCUGUUACAAAAAAAUACGAUGUUUUCAUCAGCUUUAGAGGAGAGGACACUCGCUGUGACUUCACCAGCCAUCUUUAUGCUGCUCUCCGCACAAACAACAUGGAAACCUACAUAGACUACAGAAUCCAGAAAGGAGAAGAUCUUUGGGUGGAACUGCUGAAAGCCAUCAAAGACUCCACUCUCUUUUUGGUUAUCUUCUCAGAGAACUACGCGUCUUCAAGUUGGUGCUUGAAUGAACUUGUGGAACUGAUGGAAUGCAAGAAACAACAACAAGAAGACGUUCAUGUUAUUCCUGUGUUCUAUAAGAUAGACCCUUCUCAGGUACGUAAACAGAGAGGGAGUUACCAUGCAGCAUUCGCAAAGCACAAGAAGGAUAAGAAGGUGAGUAAGGAGAAGAUGCAAAAGUGGAAGGACACUCUCGUUCAUGCAGCCAAUUUAUCAGGCUUCCAUUCUCACAAAUACAGGACUGAAUCUGACUUGAUUGAACACAUUAUCAAAGUUAUUUCCGAAAAACUAAAUCACAAGCCCACAACUGAUUUUAGAGGUCGUUUCAUAUCUGAUGAAAACUACACAAACAUUAAAUCUUUAUUGAAAAUUAAUUCGGAGGAAGUUAUAGUCAUUGGAAUUUGGGGCAUGGGAGGUAUCGGUAAAACAACACUUGCUACUGCUGUUUUCCAAAAGGUUUCUUGUCAGUAUGAAGGCACUUGCUUCUUAAAAAGUGUGGCAGAGGAGUCCAAAAGGCAUGGACCAAAUUACAUAUGCAACAAAGUUUUUUCUAAGUUGUUACAGGAAGAUAUCUGUAUUGACACUCCUACACUGAUACCCUCUAUUGUUAAAAAAAGGCUCAGAAGAAAGAAAGUUUUCAUUGUACUAGAUGAUGUCAAUUCUUCAGAACUUGUUGAAAAUUUAAUUGGAGUGGAUCGUGACUGGCUAGGAGCUGGUAGCAGAGUCAUUGUGACAACCAGAGAUAAACACGUGCUUAUAAGUGGAGAUGUUGACAAAAUUCAUCAAGUCAAGGAAAUGAACUUUCAAAACUCCCUUGAACUUUUCAGCUCAUAUGCCUUUCGCAAAACCCAUCCUACGAAGGAAUAUAUGGAGUUAUCAAUAAGAGCAAUAGAGUAUGCCAAAGGAAUCCCGUUAGCUUUGAAAGUUUUGGGAUCAUACCUUCGUUCCAAAAGUGAAAAUGAAUGGGAUAGUGCACUAAAUAAAUUGAAGAAAAUUCCUAAUGUGGAAAUUGAGGAAGUGUUGAGAUUGAGUUAUGAUGGAUUAGAUGAUGAUGAGAAAAAUAUUUUCCUUGACAUAGCUUGUUUCUUCAAAGGACAAAAAAGAGACCAUAUAACAAAAUUAUUAAAUGCUUGUGAUUUUUCUGCAGAUAUAGGGAUAAGGCGUCUUUUAGACAAAGCUCUUAUUGUUACUACUCCAUACAAUAAUUGCAUAGAUAUGCAAGAUAUGAUACAAGAAAUGGGUAGAAGAAUUGUUCGUGAAAAAUCUAUUCAAAGUCAUGGGCAAUGUAGUAGAUUGUGGGAUCCUAAGGAAGUCUAUAAUGUAUUGACAAAUAAUAGAGGAAAUCAUGAAAUUGAAGGAAUAUGGUUAGAUAUGACUCAAAUUACAAAUAUAAAUUUAAGCUCUGGAGUAUUCAAAGAGAUGCCAAACCUGAGAUUACUUGUUUUUCGAUCCCUCAAUGGAGAUUCAAAGAGAAUCAAUUCAAUAUACCUUCCAAAGGGUCUUGAAUUCUUACCUAAUAACUUAAGAUAUUUAGUGUGGAACAGGUACCCUUUAGAAUCUCUACCAUCAACUUUUUGCCCUGACAAUCUUUUUGAGAUUUCCAUGCGACAUAGCAAUGUGGAAAGACUUUGGCAUGGAGUACAGAAUUUUCCAAAUUUAGAGAUAAUUAACCUUUCUGGCUCCAAACACCUUGUGGAGUGUCCAAAUCUGUCUCGUGCCCCAAAACUUAGUCAUGUACGAAUGAGUAGAUGUGAAAGCUUAACUUAUGUUGAUCCAUCAAUUUUGUCCCUCCCAAAGCUUGAAAUUUUGAAUUUAACCGAGUGCACAUCACUUAAGACACUUGGCAGCAACAUUUGUUCACAAUUUCUUCGAGGAUUGUUUUUAGGACUAUCAGGUUUGAGUGAAUUUCCCCCAUCAAUUUUGCUUAUAAAAAAUCUCAAAGCCUUUUCUUUCACAAUUAGUUAUGGUCUUGUGGAUCUUCCUGAAAACUUUUCUCAACAAAUUGUGCUUUAUGAGUCAAGGAAACACAAAGGUGACACUUUCUUGAUCUUACAAAAGGCAUUUCUUUGCCCUGGCUUUCAGUCACUAACAGGUAUAGUAUUUGAGGAUUGUCUAAGCUUGUGUGCAACUGCAAUCCCAAACAACAUCUCCAUGUUAUCAUCAUUGCAAUACUUAACCUUUUAUUGUUGCGCCAUCACAAGCUUACCUGAGAGCAUCAAGCAUCUGACAAGACUCAAAGUUGUUGAAGUUUGUGAAUGCAAAAUGCUUCAAUGUAUACCUGCACUUCCACAAUCCAUUCAACACUUACACAUUUGGAGGUGCCAAUCUCUUCAGAGAGUGUUAUGUUCCACAAUUGAACCAUUUAAAACACCUGAACGUAUUUUUCUGCUUCCUAACUGCUUAACAUUGGAUGAUCAUUCAUAUGAUGCAAUUUUGAAUGAUGCCAUUGUUAUGAUUAAACUUGCAACAGAAACAACAUCGGCAGUUGUAUCAGAAAAUAAAGAAGAUACAUCCAUGAAUAAUUAUUUAUGUGAAUCAACAAAGAUUUGUUAUUCUUUACCAGCUAGAAGUGGAAAAUUUCUAGAUUGGUUUCAUCACCACUCUACACAGGUUUUGGUCCCUAUUGAACAACUUCCACCUGAUUUUUUGGGUUUCAUUUUCUAUUUGGUUGUUUCUCCAAUCCAAUCACGCCACAUUGGAUGUUGUGGAAGUAUUGGAUGUGAAUGCUACUUGGAAACUAGUUGGGAUGAAAGGAUCAAUAUAACAAGUUUCUUUUUAAAUGAAACUGUUAUGCUUUCUCAUCCACCUCCAUUUAAAUUUAUGACAGAUCACAUAUUUUUAUGGUAUGAUGCACGACUUUGCAAGAAAAUAGUGGAAGUAAUUAAAGAGAGGAAAGCUAUUAAUAGUGGUGAUCCAAAGCUUACAUUUAAAUUUUUUGUUCAAUCCCAACAUAAUGAGGAAGCAAUGAUCAUAAAAGAUAGUUGGGUUCGUUGGAUUGAUUCCUCAGAAGAAAUUGGGGACGUAAAUAUAAAAGAAAUAGGGAAAUUCAUGAAGUAAAGGGCAAUGAGUCCAAUGAUCAAGAAGAAAUAUUUCCUCCAACAAAAAAUUCCAAGUAUCGUAUCUUCGAAACUUCAAACUUGGAAGCAGAAGAAACAAAAGUGUUGAGGUGUCAACAUGAAGAACCCUUGCAUAUUCAAUCUAAAGACGUGCAACCAAUAAGAAAUAGUGGCAUAAAUUGGGUAUGGAUAUCAUAGCUAGUAUGAUCAAGCAUUAAGUUAUUCUAAUUGUCCUGGGUCAAUUUUAGGUUCAAUUAUUUAAGUAUGAACUAUAUUUAUCAAGGAUAACAUAAGUAAUUCAUCAGGCAUGAUCAAAACAAAACUCAACCAAUCCUAAAUAAUAUUUUGUAGCAAUUUUAUCAAAAUUAGAUCGAUCAUCGACUUAGUCAUAAUGUUAGGUUAGUGGGUCAAUGAUUUAACUAAUGAAUCACUAGUUGAUCUGGAUGAACCUAUAUAAAUGAGAAUUAUGUCCAUUUGGUGACUAUUGGCAGAGUAUAUAAGUUGGGGGUCAACCAUACACCACAAGACCAUACAAGAUGGUAUGGUAUGGGUGGAGGUUAAGUAGGUUCGAGAUGCAAAUGUUUGAGUUUUUGUGCCCACAAUAAGGUUGAAUGGGAUAGGCUGUCAAUUAUUUCAUUUCAUGCACUAGUGCAAAAUAAGGAUACUACGUCACCUCUUUUAUGUCAGAUAUUCAAAAACACGACAUAAAAAAUAAGUGGUGACAUUUUUGUAAAUAAAAGUGGAAUAUUUUACGUUGGACUAGGUGUGGUCCGACGUAAAAUAUACAAUCUACUUCGGCCACAAUACAAGUCCGACGUAGAUUGUAUAAUUUACGUCAGACCACACCUAGUCCGACGUAAAAUAUUAUUUAUAUGAUGCCCUUUCGUUCUCUUCUCGCGCGCGCCUCAGUUUACUUGUUUUCUCAUCUAAGUUUACUUGUUUUCUCUUCUAAGCUGUUUUGCAUUGGGUCUGCACGUUUGAGGUUAGUUUCAACUUAGUUCUCUUCUUUGCAUUAUUUUGUGUUAGUUGUUCAUCUGGAACGGCCCGUUCUGCGACCAGAACGGGUCGUUCUACUUGAAUUUAUUGUUUGUUAAUUGU